UUCCGGUUGAUCCCGCCGGAGGCCAUUGCUAUCGGAGUCCGAUUUAGCCAUGCUAGUCGAGCGAGGUUAGCCCUCGCGGCGAACAGCUCAGUAACACGUGGCCAAGCUACCCUGCAGAGGGGGACAGCGUCGGGAAACUGACGGGAAUCCCCCAUACCGGUCUCACGCUGGAAUGCCGAGACCGACAAACGCUCCGGCGCUGCAGGAUGCGGCUGCGGCCGAUUAGGUAGUCGGUGGGGUAACGGCCCACCGAGCCAAUAAUUGGUACGGGGUGUGAGAGCACGAGCCCGGAGACGGAAUCUGAGACAAGAUUCCGGGCCCUACGGGGCGCAGCAGGCGCGAAACCUUUACACUGCACGAACGUGCGAUAAGGGGACUCCGAGUGCGAGGGCAUACAGUCCUCGCUAUUGUGUACCGUAGGGUGGUACACGACCAAGAGCUGGGCAAGACCGGUGCCAGCCGCCGCGGUAAUACCGGCAGCUCGAGUGAUGGCCGAUUUUAUUGGGCCUAAAGCGUCCGUAGCUGGCCCUGCAAGUCCGUCGGGAAAUCCACUCGCCUAACGAGUGGGCGUCCGGCGGAAACUACAGGGCUUGGGACCGGAAGACUUGAAGGGUACGUCUGGGGUAGGAGUGACAUCCUGUAAUCCUGGACGGACCGCCCAUAGCGAAAGCACCU
Molecule: ribosomal RNA, 675 nt
Filed under: uncultured archaeon
Lineage: Archaea
Description: bacterial SSU rRNA
Rfam family: Archaeal small subunit ribosomal RNA
Source: RNAcentral